AGGAAAGGCUGGAGUCACCAUGGUAGGGCUGGGAAGCUCUGGUUCCCAAAGUGGGUUUGUACCCAUCCUCUCAUAGUACCCUUUAGGAUUUUAUUAGGAACAUUUGUCUUUAUAAGAAAACUGAGGCACGAUAAUCUGUCUGGCUAUGGUGAUAGAAGUCUGGGUACUCUUCCUCCAUAUCAAGGUCACUUAUUGGUAUCUCCUCCAGUCCCAGAAGGAGGAGUUGAGGCCGACAUUGGACAAACAAAGCCUUAAUUUAAAAGCAGGGACUGCAACCUGGAACAAGGAGAGACAAAGGGAAGGAGGAGUCUGGAGCCAUAUUGAAGAUGAAAUUGAGAUAUGGACUAGGUGGUGGAUCGUUUUUAUAAGAGGACAUAAAAGAGGAUGCUAAAGCUAAUUGCCACAAUCAGAACUCAAAGACCUAGCAAAUGCAAGGAUACAAUAAGAAGUCAGCAGUCUGCAACCCAGAAGAGGACCCUCACUGGAACCCAGGAAUGUUGGCACUCUGAACUUAGAUUUUCCAGCCUCUAGAAUGGUGAGAAAUAAAUUUCUAUUGUUC
Molecule: long non-coding RNA, 559 nt
Organism: Homo sapiens (human)
Lineage: Eukaryota; Metazoa; Chordata; Mammalia; Primates; Hominidae
Source: Ensembl